RNAcentral lists this ribosomal RNA (274 nucleotides) under uncultured bacterium. Its description in RNAcentral is "partial 16S ribosomal RNA". It matches the Rfam family "Bacterial small subunit ribosomal RNA", at positions 523 to 796 of the family's 1533-position model. The record is from RNAcentral.
AUACGAAAGGUGCAAGCGUUGUUGGGAUUUACUGGGCGUAAAGAGAGUGUAGGUGGUUUAUUAAGUCGGAUGUGAAAUCCCGGGGCUCAACCUCGGAACUGCAUUCGAUACUGAUAGGCUAGAGUUUGGGAGGGGUAAGCGGAAUUCCGUGUGUAGCAGUGAAAUGCGUAGAUAUACGGAGGAACACCUGAGGCGAAGGCGGCUUACUGGACCAAUACUGACACUGAGACUCGAAAGCGUGGGUAGCAAACAGGAUUAGAAACCCUAGUAGUCC